UUGGACCUGAUAUCAAGCAAGUA
This 23-nucleotide ribosomal RNA is filed under the name Phytophthora citrophthora. RNAcentral's name for it is "partial 28S ribosomal RNA". Lineage: Eukaryota; Oomycota; Peronosporomycetes; Peronosporales; Peronosporaceae. The record is from RNAcentral.